RNAcentral lists this ribosomal RNA (449 nucleotides) under uncultured bacterium. RNAcentral describes it as "partial 16S ribosomal RNA". It matches the Rfam family "Bacterial small subunit ribosomal RNA", at positions 29 to 523 of the family's 1533-position model. The record is from RNAcentral.
AGCGAACGCUGGCGGCAGGCCUAACACAUGCAAGUCGAACGGAUCCUUCGGGAUUAGUGGCGGACGGGUGAGUAACACGUGGGAACGUGCCCUUUGGUUCGGAACAACUCAGGGAAACUUGAGCUAUUACCGGAUGUGCCCUUCGGGGGAAAGAUUUAUCGCCAUUGGAGCGGCCCGCGUCUGAUUAGCUAGUUGGUGGGGUAAAGGCCCACCAAGGCGACGAUCAGUAGCUGGUCUGAGAGGAUGAUCAGCCACAUUGGGACUGAGACACGGCCCAAACUCCUACGGGAGGCAGCAGUGGGGAAUCUUGCGCAAUGGGCGAAAGCCUGACGCAGCCAUGCCGCGUGAAUGAUGAAGGUCUUAGGAUUGCAAAAUUCUUUCACCGGGGACGAUAAUGACGGUACCCGGAGAAGAAGCCCCGGCUAACUUCGUGCCAGCCGCCGCGGUAA